GGUUUAUCUCAUCAAGGGUUUUCUUCAAGCCGAAGGACUGGACAGAACAGUAAUAUAUCUGCUGUAGGCAAACCCAUGUUUACAGCUGGGGAUGCAAGUGAACAUGUAAAUGCACAAGAUGUUGGACAUUUCAACACUUUUUUUGCAGAUAAUUCCGUGAGGGUUAAGUCUGAAAUUGUUUCUGAUGCAAACUGUCAGAUUAACAUCUUCCCUGAACAAUUUGGCCAAGAAGAUCUCAUGAGCACUCUUCUAAAACAGCAGCAGCAGGGACAUAUAGCAUCAGCUGAAAAUGAGUUUGACUUUG
RNAcentral lists this unclassified non-coding RNA (304 nucleotides) under Hevea brasiliensis (rubber tree). Lineage: Eukaryota; Viridiplantae; Streptophyta; Magnoliopsida; Malpighiales; Euphorbiaceae. The record is from RNAcentral.